CUGUUGUGUACAGACCUCCUGACUACAGUUUGACACCAUUCAUGCAAAACCUGCCACAGCAGAAUCUUCAUUCAGGUGUCCUGAGGACAUAUUACAGUUACCACAACCCUGUGUUUUGUGUCCUGUCCCCGAGCCAAUCAUGAAGUCGUCUGACAGGGCACACACAGUUCUGUUUCCUUUGUGGGAAAACCUUCAAACUUCACCAUCCUCAGCUGAAACAACAACAUCUUAACACCAUCUUCAUGAACUGCUGAGCCAAACCUGAUCCAUCAGUGCUGGACUGCACAGAUAACUACAUGCCACAAGGUGACUGCUGUGUUAUGAACUGCCAUACCAGUGUGUCUUCAAUGGAGAAGAUGACACACCCAUCACCUGACCUCCUGCCUGAUCUGGAGACCAUCAUCAUGCUGCCACACUACACACCUCUGAGACCAUCAAUGAUGACUGAUACUGAGGAAACUGUAUAUCCUGUCAGAGAUGCUCAGUGAUCCUCAGAGCAGAGAGAGGUAAUGCUGUCUUCUGAGUUCUUCAGUGUCCCAACUGAGACAUUCAAACCUCAUUGCAGAGCUCAUGUCUUUCCUCACCAUCAUGUGAGUGUGAGAUUGCUCUGGAUUCUGGUUAUGUGGCCUGCAGCACCUAUGAGAACAAGCUCGUACAGUGUGCCUGCAUUCCAGCUUCUUAGACUCUACGCAAGUCGACAGAGUAUCAGUGCUUGGCCACUCUUACAGACACCGACUUCUGUCAACUCACUGCUACUGAACAG
Molecule: long non-coding RNA, 763 nt
Organism: Oreochromis aureus
Lineage: Eukaryota; Metazoa; Chordata; Actinopteri; Cichliformes; Cichlidae
Source: Ensembl